Molecule: transfer RNA, 21 nt
Filed under: Halcyon malimbica
Lineage: Eukaryota; Metazoa; Chordata; Aves; Coraciiformes; Alcedinidae
Also listed under: 1 other name
Description: partial tRNA-Met
Source: RNAcentral
GUUUAACUCCUUCCCCUACUA